CUAGCUCCUUUCACUUUGCCAAUUGGACGUAAAUUUUUAUUGGUCAUUCAAGUGACAAAGAAAAUAUCUUUUUAAAACUUGAGCAAACAAUGUUUUGUCUUGUAACCUGUCAGAGGAAGAAGAU
This is a small nucleolar RNA of Heterocephalus glaber (naked mole-rat), 124 nucleotides long. NCBI's taxonomy places the organism in Eukaryota, Metazoa, Chordata, Mammalia, Rodentia, Bathyergidae. The record is from Ensembl.